AGGGUGUGGGGUGGGUUGUGAGUAGUCCUGGCCGGACACUGCGGAGCUGCCUUUCUCCCUGGAUGUCCUCUCUACUAGCUCUCCCUGUGUAAGCCUCAACCACCUGUACGAGGAGGGGGUGGUGGGGAGGCCCGGGAGGCGAAUCCAGGAGCCUUUCUCCCAGAACGGGGGCCCGAGAUACGGAUUUGAGAGAUGCUUUCACAAAGCCUCACCAAGUCCCACGGGGCCAAUUUCUUCUCCGGGGGCCGAAGUGCAGAAUCUGGAGGAGAAAAAGAUUUCUCGGUGGAAGCUGGAGCCUGAACUUCCAUGUGGUUGUUGGAGAUUCGGUGCCUAAAAAAAGACAUACCAGGAUCUUGCCUGAUCUUUCACUCUGCUUUUAAAAACUUUCCUCUUAAAGAGGGAACUUUUUUGCUUUUCUCUCUCAAAGUAUAAUAUGCUUGUUGAAACUUCAAACUUAAAUGGGAGAGAAAAAUUCUCUGAAAAUAUUUUGCCAUUUUUCCUUGUUUACACAAAGAGAGGUGGAUGUUUACAUGUUUGAUUCACAUACACAUGUAAAGCUGGUACUUUCGGUUAAAACUUUCUAGAACAUAGCAAUCAGGGGUUGUUUGAGCUUCCCACCCCGCUUUCUUUCUCUUGGUCAUAUUUUAUUAUGAGAUAAAAUUCAUUUUGUUUUCUGUAAUAAGCAUCUUGCUCAUUAUUUUAUUGCUCUCCAUUGUUCUUUAAAUGAAAUACAUCUUAAAAUUA
Long non-coding RNA from Homo sapiens (human), 744 nucleotides. The record is from Ensembl. NCBI's taxonomy places the organism in Eukaryota, Metazoa, Chordata, Mammalia, Primates, Hominidae.